UCAAGCGAACAAGGGCGCAGGGCGAAUGCCUUGGCACUGGGAGCCGAUGAAAGACGUGAUAAGCUGCGAUAAGCUUCGGGGAGCUGCAAAUAAGCAUUGAUCCGGAGAUUUCUGAAUGAGGAAACUCACCUGGGUUCAUACUCAGGUACGUUAUACUGAACUUAAAAAUAGGUAUAUCGAGGGAACCGCCUGAACUGAAACAUCUAAGUAGGGCGAGGAAGAGACAUCAAACGAGAUUCCGUAAGUAGUGGCGAGCGAACGCGGAAGAGGGCAAACCGGAAGUAGAAAUACUUCCGGGGUACGGACUGCUUUUAGGACUUAAUCUGUUAACCGAACGGCAUGGGAAGGCCGGUCAGAGAGUGUGAGAACCACGUAGGUGAAAACGACAAGAGCUGAGCGAGUUCCAGAGUACGGCCAGACACGUGAAACCUGGUCGGAAUACGGGGGGACCACCCUCCAACCCUAAAUACUACCCAGUGACCGAUAGCGUAUAGUACUGUGAAGGAAAGGUGAAAAGCACCCCGGGAGGGGAGUGAAAAAGAACCUGAAACCCUGUGCCUACAAGCACCUAGAGCACGUCAAUGUGUGAUAGGGUACUUUUUGUAGAACGGUCCGGCGAGCGAUUGUAUGCAGCAAGGUUAAGGACUUAAGGUCUGGAGCCGAAGCGAAAGCGAGUUUGAAAAGGGCGUUAAGUUGCAUACAAUGGGCCCGAAACCGGGUGACCUACCCAUGGUCAGGUUGAAGUGGAAGUAAAAUUCCAUGGAGGACCGAACCGACCUCCGUUGAAAAGGCGGCGGAUGAACUGUGGGUAGCGGAGAAAUUCCAAUCGAACCCGGAGAUAGCUGGUUCUCCCCGAAAUAGUUUUAGGACUAGCCUCAAGUUAGAUACCUGGAGGUAAAGCACUGAAUAGCCUAGCGGCCGAGAGGUUAGCGAAGCUUAUCAAACUCAGAAUGCCAGAGUAUUGAUGCUUGGGAGUCAGACAGUGUCAGAUAAAUGUCAUUGUCAAAAGGGAAACAGCCCAGAUCUACAGCUAAGGUCCCAAAGUCAGGUUAAGUGGAAAACGAUGUGAAGAUACGUAGACAACCAGGAUGUUGGCUCAGAAGCAGCCACACAUUCAAAGAGUGCGUAAUAGCUCACUGGUCGAGCGUCUUUGCGCGGAGAAUUUAACGGGGCUAAACCUGACACCGAAGCUUAGGCAAUACAGCAAUGUAUUGGGUAGGGGAGCGUUGUAUACGCGGUGAAACAGUAGCGCAAGCGGCUGUGGAGUGUAUAGAAGUGAGAAUGCCGGAAUGAGUAGCGCGAAUGCAGUGAGAAUCUGCAUGGCCGAAAGCCUCAGGUUUCUGGAGGAAGGUUCGUCCGCUCCAGGUUAGUCGGGAGCUAAGGUGAGGCCUAACGGCGUAGCCGAUGCACAGACGGUAGAGAUUCCGUCACCACCAAAAGAGUUAAGCACAGGGACACAUUUGAAGUCUCGGAGCCGGGUGUUGGUUCCGGUAGCGAUCGAGGGAAGUUAGUACCGAAGUCCGGGAUGGAAGAUGGCGAGAAAAGCUGUGUGUAUUUCUGCGGUGCCCGUACCGCAAACCGACACAGGUAGGUAGGAAGAAGAUUCUAAGGCCAACGGGAGAAGGGUUGUUAAGGAACUCGGCAAAUUGACCCCGUAACUUCGGGAGAAGGGGUGCUCCAGAGAUGGAGCCGCAGAGAAUCGGCCCAAGCAACUGUUUACCAAAAACACAGGUUUGUGCUAAAUCGAAAGAUGACGUAUACGAGCUGACGCCUGCCCGGUGCUGGAAGGUUAAGAGGAGAUGUGCAAGCAUUGAAUCGAAGCCCCAGUGAACGGCGGCCGUAACUAUAACGGUCCUAAGGUAGCGAAAUUCCUUGUCAGGUAAG
RNAcentral lists this ribosomal RNA (1884 nucleotides) under human gut metagenome. RNAcentral's name for it is "bacterial LSU rRNA". It matches the Rfam family "Bacterial large subunit ribosomal RNA", at positions 3 to 1980 of the family's 2925-position model. The record is from RNAcentral.